GAGCGGAAAGGCCCUUUCGGGGGUACUCGAGCGGCGAACGGGUGAGUAACACGUGAGUAAUCUGCCCUGCGCUCUGGGAUAGCCACCGGAAACGGUGAUUAAUACCGGAUAGGACCACUUCACGCAUGUGAUGGUGGUGGAAAGUUUUUUCGGCGCAGGAUGUGCUCGCGGCCUAUCAGCUUGUUGGUGAGGUAACGGCUCACCAAGGCUUUGACGGGUAACCGGCCUGAGAGGGUGACCGGUCACACUGGGACUGAGACACGGCCCAGACUCCUACGGGAGGCAGCAGUGGGGAAUAUUGGACAAUGGGCGGAAGCCUGAUCCAGCAACGCCGCGUGAGGGAUGACGGCCUUCGGGUUGUAAACCUCUUUCAGUACCGACGAAGCGAAAGUGACGGUAGGUACAGAAGAAGGACCGGCCAACUACGUGCCAGCAGCCGCGGUAAUACGUAGGGUCCGAGCGUUGUCCGGAAUUAUUGGGCGUAAAGGGCUCGUAGGCGGUUUGUCGCGUCGGGAGUGAAAACACCGGGCUUAACUCGGUGCUUGCUUUCGAUACGGGCAGACUAGAGGUAUGCAGGGGAGAAUGGAAUUCCUGGUGUAGCGGUGAAAUGCGCAGAUAUCAGGAGGAACACCGGUGGCGAAGGCGGUUCUCUGGGCAUUACCUGACGCUGAGGAGCGAAAGUGUGGGGAGCGAACAGGAUUAGAUACCCUGGUAGUCCACACCGUAAACGUUGGGCGCUAGGUGUGGGGCCUAUUCCAUGGGUUCCGUGCCGUAGCUAAC
RNAcentral lists this ribosomal RNA (780 nucleotides) under uncultured Nocardioides sp. RNAcentral's name for it is "bacterial SSU rRNA". It matches the Rfam family "Bacterial small subunit ribosomal RNA", at positions 64 to 856 of the family's 1533-position model. Lineage: Bacteria; Bacillati; Actinomycetota; Actinomycetes; Propionibacteriales; Nocardioidaceae. The record is from RNAcentral.